This 475-nucleotide ribosomal RNA is filed under the name uncultured bacterium. RNAcentral's name for it is "SSU rRNA". It matches the Rfam family "Bacterial small subunit ribosomal RNA", at positions 26 to 518 of the family's 1533-position model. The record is from RNAcentral.
AGGACGAACGCUGGCGGCGUGCUUAACACAUGCAAGUCGAGCGGUAAGGCCCUUCGGGGUACACGAGCGGCGAACGGGUGAGUAACACGUGGGUAACCUGCCCUGUACUGUGGGAUAAGCCUGGGAAACUGGGUCUAAUACCGCAUAUGACUGCAUCCUGCAUGGGGUGUGGUGGAAAGUUCUGGCGGUACAGGAUGGGCCCGCGGCCUAUCAGCUUGUUGGUGGGGUGAUGGCCUACCAAGGCGACGACGGGUAGCCGGCCUGAGAGGGCGACCGGCCACACUGGGACUGAGACACGGCCCAGACUCCUACGGGAGGCAGCAGUGGGGAAUCUUGCGCAAUGGGCGAAAGCCUGACGCAGCGACGCCGCGUGAGGGAUGACGGCCUUCGGGUUGUAAACCUCUUUCGACCGGGACGAAGCGUGAGUGACGGUACCGGUAGAAGAAGCACCGGCUAACUACGUGCCAGCAGCCGC